UGCACUUGUGGCGUCCUCCUCCUGGCGGACAUCUGCAAGUUCGGCGACGCCUUGUCGCAGAGGCCACUCGCUGACCACAGUGCACAACCAGAUGGUGUGCAACAAGUUUGGACUUGAGACCACCCGGGAACUGCUGUCUAUCCAAAAGUUGCAGCUCGCCUUUCAAGGAAGUGGUCGCGUGACAGAAGCAUUUUAUCACAAACGCCUGGAAGUGUGCUACAAGGCCGGCUCCGCGAGUCCUUGCUGUGAACAUCUGUGCAACAGAUUGCAUAUCUGCAGGCGAUUUUUGGCGGGG
Long non-coding RNA from Pollicipes pollicipes, 295 nucleotides. RefSeq lists it as uncharacterized. The transcript is spliced from 3 exons. The record is from RefSeq and is a predicted model, not a curated record. Lineage: Eukaryota; Metazoa; Arthropoda; Thecostraca; Pollicipedomorpha; Pollicipedidae.